GGCCGCGCCGGCAUGGCCUGCAUGCUGCGCGCUAUCGUCGCGCACGGACACUGCCGAGGCUGCGAGCGCGUCUCGCAGCCG
Molecule: transfer RNA, 81 nt
Filed under: Trinickia caryophylli
Lineage: Bacteria; Pseudomonadati; Pseudomonadota; Betaproteobacteria; Burkholderiales; Burkholderiaceae
Description: tRNA-Asp
Source: RNAcentral